AAUAAACAGUAUUUGGUAAGACACUUCUAAGUUGAGACUCUACUAUUUUUAAAAUUAUAUCUGUUGUUCACCACUUCCCACUGACUUAAGCAUCAAAGAGUCUCCAUCGAACACAACUCCAGUCAGUGCAGAUUUUUUUUACAAGAGCCCUUCUCCGACGACAGGCGCAAUAGGAAAUUAGCUGCAACAGAUUGACAUGCCAGAUAGGGAGAAGAUACGAGUAACUAUGGCUAAGACUAGAGC
RNAcentral lists this long non-coding RNA (243 nucleotides) under Elaeis guineensis (African oil palm). RNAcentral describes it as "long non-coding RNA (EGUI_LNC036749)". Lineage: Eukaryota; Viridiplantae; Streptophyta; Magnoliopsida; Arecales; Arecaceae. The record is from RNAcentral.